UGCAGGAUCUGGUACCAUGUUCGUAAUAUUUCUCACUAUCAGAAAACAGUUUAAGCUAGCAGAGCAUUAUUGUGCUAACAACUUGAAUAGACCACAUAGCAAAUUUCUCACAAGUACUACAAGAUUACUCAAUGUAUUAAUUAACAUCGGUUAAGUACGAACUGAACUUGUUAACUAAAAAGGCAAAAUAUACCACUGUACACAGAUUAGAAAACUAAAUUUCAACCUUAAAUAGGAAUUUCUUCAACAUAUAGAAGUGCUUUGCACUGACAUAAAGAUGCAUAAAGUCACAAAUUCAGAACUAAGAAUGAAAUAAAUUUAUUUGUAACCCGGUAACACAUGGUAAUAAUUUGACACAACAACUAGAUUGAGUAGGGAAGAGGAGAAAGAGGGCAUGGAUGGAGAGGGAGUCACCUCUGCACGGCGAGGGAGGCAGAUAUGGAAGUCGCCGACUAGGGAGGCGGAUCUGGAUGUCUCCAGCAAGGAGGGUGGCCAUGAACGACAGAGGCAGGGGGCACUCGAUGGUGAGGUGGGCACCUCUAGAUUUGGAGGGAGGCGGCAGACCAAAACUAGAAGGCCGAUAUGGGGGGAGUGGCGGUGUUGGACGGUGGAGGUAGACCGAUCGUGGGAGUGGGACUAGUAGCACAAUGGGGGCACUACUUGAUCAUGUUUUAGGUAUUUUGACCCAACCCUCCCGAUGACAGCGCACGUUAUGCGAAAAACACCUCGGGAAGCAAAUAUCAGUGUGCUUCUCACUUCCCAAAUGAAAAAAUCACGUGCCCCGGAAGUGAAAAAAUCACGUGCCCCGGAAGCGAAAUAUCUUCGGGUCCCUCGUAGGUAUCUUCCUGAUAGCCAUGUACACUGUCUUGAAUUUGUGUAAAGUGAUUUGUGACCUGGAUAUAGUACCGACGCAAAUGUUCCAUUCCGUUCCUGAAGGUUAUUAUGAAGAACCUCACGAACAUACCACCUUUCGCCUUGGCUGAACAUCCACGGCACGAACAGGCACACAUUCCUGAAGGAGACUUCGGGGCCAUCACAAACGUGCCUAAUCAUCACCAAAAAGUUAGUUUUGGGUAGUGAAUUUGGGUUGGUCAAAUAAUCUCUGGUAAAAUCAUCUUUAGAUUAUUAGCAAGCAUCUUCGGAAUUAAGUCUACUAUCGUGUCAUUGUACCCCCUUUGUUAUUUGCCUCGAGCUUGUCACGUUGGGGACUUCUUGUGUAAUCUUUUGACCCUUCAAAAGCCAAUAUUUCUUGUAGAAAAUUGCAUGCAAACCAUCCAGGCCUGCGACUUUGAGAUGUGAAAAUAGUGCGCAUCACUUCAUCCUCCAUAAGUGAAUCAGUUGUUCAUUUAAUUCUUUAGAAACUAACAGGAGAAUGUUUUCAAGUAAACAAACAUCUAUUUUCAGAUAGUGAGAAAUGUUGCGAAGAAGGUACUAGAUGCUACACAUCAAUGCAGAAGAACAUGUUCAAAAUUAUAUUACCAACCAUUUCCAAACUCUAUAAUGCUCCAGUGCUUUUUGGCUCUAAACUAUUUUCUCAUUGCGAUAGUGUUCGAAACUUAGUUCAUAGAUGUGGUUAAUAUCAUUUAAUUGAUCAAGAGUCCAUUUGGAGAUAUUUUUGUUACAUUCAAAUUAUCGACCCUACUAGAAUAAGGGUCAUGCAUCAUUUAUAUAAUACUUUGUUUACCAAUGACCCUAUCCACUAUAAUUUGUUAAACCAUACUGACCCUACCAUGUUUAUUUUUGGAAGUGCGCGAUCACUCAAUACUUUCGAGAUUCCAAGGAGUGAGAUCAGCGACUGCAUAGUGGAAGAUGUUGCACAAAGACCGUCCAGGGUUACAUUCCUCGAUGUAAGCAGUUGCACCAAGAUUGGUGCCCGUGCUCUGGAUGCAUUUGGCAAGAAAUAGAAAUCCCUCGUCAGACAUCGGCAAGUCAUGCACACCAUAGAUGUCGCUGGGAAGGUGUGCCAGAAUCACGAGGCCCAUGCUAUUGUAAGCAACAUGCCAAAGCUCUGCCACCUUGAGAUAGGAUACAUGCUCAUUAAGACUAUGGUUGUCGUCAAGAUCGCCUUCCAGCGCCUUGACCUCAAGUUCUUAGAUCUGUGUGGUUGCUGGGACGUUGACGAUACGCUCUUGCAACAGAAUAGUCCUUGGCUGAAAAGCAUCGGCCCCCGCAUGGGCGACUGCUAUGAGAACCACAUCUGCGAGGAGUGCACUGAUGACUCGGAUGAUGAAUACUCAUGACGUCCAUGAACUUUUGCAUGAGUAGAUGUAGUCAUAAUCCGAGUCAUCGGUGCAAUCCUCCCUAAAGCGAUUCUGAUAGCAGUCACCACACAGCGGCCGAUGGUUUUCAGCCCAGGAAACUAUCUUGCAAGAGCUUAUCUUCGACGUCCCGAUAACCGCACAAAUCUUAGAACUUGUGGUCAUGGCACUCAGAGGCGAUCUUCUAAAUUACCUUAGUCUUAAUGAGCAUGUUUCCAAUCUAGAGGUGGUGGAGCUUUGGAAUAUUGCUGGCAGUAGCAUGGGCGUCCUCAUUCUGGCAAACCUUCGCAACGACAUCUAGAGGUUGCAUGACUCACCGAAGUCUGACAAGGGUUUUGCAGUUCUUGCCAAAUGGCUACAUAGCACGGGCGCCAAUCUUGGUGUAGCUGCAUACGUCCAGGAAUGUUACCUUGGGAACUCUUCGUGCAAGAUCUUCUUCUAUGCAGUCACUGAUCUCGCUCCUCGGAAUCUUCAAAGUAUUGGGAGAUUGUGCACCGGCAAAAGGAAACACUAUAGAGUCAAUAACGUUUAAAAAAAUGUUGAUAGGGUCAUCAGUAAACAAAGUAUUAUAUAUAUAUGAUGCAUAUACCUUGUUCUAGUAGCGUCCAUAAUUUGAAUGUAACAAGAAUAUUACCAAAUAGACACAUCAUGCUCAAUUAAGUGUUAUUAACUGCGGCUAUGAAAUGAGUUUCUAACAUCAUACCAAUCAGCACAUAGAUCAAAGCCGGGAAGCACUAGAGCAUUGUAGAGUUCGGAAAGCGUUGGUAAUAUAAUUUUGAAUAUGUUCUUCUGCACAGAUGUGAAGGAUCUGGUACCAUGUUCGUAAUAUUUCUCACUAUCAGAAAACAAAUUAAGCCAGCGGAGCAUUAUUGUGCUAGCAACUUGCAUAGACCACACAACAAGUUUAUCCCAAGUACUACAAGAUUACUCAAUGUCUCAAUCACCAUCGUUUAAGUACAAAAUGAAACUGUUAACUAAAAAGGCAAAAUGUACAACUGUACACAUAUUAGAAAACUAAAUUUCAACCUUAAAUAGCAAUUUCUUCGACAUAUAGAAGUUCUUUGCAUGGACUUUAAGAUGCAUAAAGUCACAAAUUCAGAACUAAGAAUGAAAUAGAUUUAUUUGUAACUCUGCAACACAUGGUAAUUAUUUGACACAACUACUAGAUCGGGUAGGAAUGAGGAGAAAGAGGGCAUGGACGGGGAGGGAGUCAC
This 3472-nucleotide long non-coding RNA is filed under the name Triticum aestivum (bread wheat). RNAcentral's name for it is "long non-coding RNA (TAES_LNC028128)". Lineage: Eukaryota; Viridiplantae; Streptophyta; Magnoliopsida; Poales; Poaceae. The record is from RNAcentral.